RNAcentral lists this long non-coding RNA (403 nucleotides) under Theobroma cacao (cacao). Its description in RNAcentral is "long non-coding RNA (TCAC_LNC000758)". The record is from RNAcentral. Lineage: Eukaryota; Viridiplantae; Streptophyta; Magnoliopsida; Malvales; Malvaceae.
CGGAAUCGGUGAAAUCGACGGGAACAACCGUAUGAUCGGAACUAUAGAGAUCCUUGCUGGUAACAUCGAGGGUUUGAUCGGUCAUGCAUUUGGCACGAAGAUGGAACUCGACGGAGCAGAACUCGCACUGGCCGUCACCGUCGCAUGCGUCACAGUCACGCGAGAAUCGCAUCGACAUGGCGCGUUCGCUGGUGAGAGGGAUGAGGCCGAGGCGGUGGGCAAUGAACUCGUCGUUAAGGACGGAGGAGUUGACUUCAAUUUCGACGAGGUCGAUUGCGAUGGUGGGGACCUCGGCAAUCAUGACGCGACGGAGGGCGUUGGCCAUGGAGGCGUCGGUGUCGCGAAGCUCGAAUUUUGCAUAGUCGUCUUUCAGUUCGCGGAUUUUGACCUUGGGGAAUCGCUG